Molecule: ribosomal RNA, 497 nt
Filed under: uncultured organism
Description: SSU rRNA
Rfam family: Bacterial small subunit ribosomal RNA
Source: RNAcentral
AGAGUUUGAUCCUGGCUACAGGACGAACGCUGGCGGCGUGCUUAACACAUGCAAGUCGAACGAGGUUAGAUUGAGAGCUUGCUUUUGAGAUAACUGAGUGGCGAACGGGUGAGUAACGCGUGAGCAACCUGUCUCACACAGGGGGAUAACGCAUCGAAAGAUGUGCUAAUACCGCAUGAGACCACAGGGGGACAUCCCCCAGGGGUCAAAGGAGGAAUCCGGUGUGAGGUGGGCUCGCGUCUGAUUAGAUAGUUGGUGAGGUAACGGCCCACCAAGUCAACGAUCAGUAGCCGACCUGAGAGGGUGAUCGGCCACAUUGGGACUGAGACACGGCCCAGACUCCUACGGGAGGCAGCAGUGGGGAAUAUUGGGCAAUGGGCGAAAGCCUGACCCAGCAACGCCGCGUGAGGGAAGAAGGUUUUCGGAUUGUAAACCUCUGUCCUGUAUGAAGAGGAGAAGACGGUAGUACAGGAGGAAGCCCCGGCUAACUACGUGCC